This 465-nucleotide ribosomal RNA is filed under the name uncultured bacterium. Its description in RNAcentral is "partial 16S ribosomal RNA". It matches the Rfam family "Bacterial small subunit ribosomal RNA", at positions 28 to 506 of the family's 1533-position model. The record is from RNAcentral.
GAUGAACGCUGGCGGCGUGCUUAACACAUGCAAGUCGAACGGAAAGGCUCCUGCUUGCAGGGGUACUCGAGUGGCGAACGGGUGAGUAACACGUGGGUGAUCUGCCCUGCACUUCGGGAUAAGCCUGGGAAACUGGGUCUAAUACCGGAUAGGACGAUGGUUUGGAUGCCAUUGUGGAAAGUUUUUUCGGUGUGGGAUGAGCUCGCGGCCUAUCAGCUUGUUGGUGGGGUAAUGGCCUACCAAGGCGUCGACGGGUAGCCGGCCUGAGAGGGUGUACGGCCACAUUGGGACUGAGAUACGGCCCAGACUCCUACGGGAGGCAGCAGUGGGGAAUAUUGCACAAUGGGCGCAAGCCUGAUGCAGCGACGCCGCGUGGGGGAUGACGGCCUUCGGGUUGGAAACUCCUUUCGCUAGGGACGAAGCGCAAGUGACGGUACCGGGAGAAGAAGCACCGGCGAACUACGU